This 995-nucleotide ribosomal RNA is filed under the name uncultured bacterium. Its description in RNAcentral is "bacterial SSU rRNA". It matches the Rfam family "Bacterial small subunit ribosomal RNA", at positions 356 to 1376 of the family's 1533-position model. The record is from RNAcentral.
GGGGAAUAUUGCACAAUGGGGGAAACCCUGAUGCAGCGACCCCGCGUGGAGGAAGAAGGUCUUCGGAUUGUAAACUCCUGUUGUUGGGGAAGAUAAUGACGGUACCCAACAAGGAAGUGACGGCUAACUACGUGCCAGCAGCCGCGGUAAAACGUAGGUCACAAGCGUUGUCCGGAAUUACUGGGUGUAAAGGGAGCGCAGGCGGGAAGACAAGUUGGAAGUGAAAUCUAUGGGCUCAACCCAUAAACUGCUUUCAAAACUGUUUUUCUUGAGUAGUGCAGAGGUAGGCGGAAUUCCCGGUGUAGCGGUGGAAUGCGUAGAUAUCGGGAGGAACACCAGUGGCGAAGGCGGCCUACUGGGCACCAACUGACGCUGAGGCUCGAAAGUGUGGGUAGCAAACAGGAUUAGAUACCCUGGUAGUCCACACCGUAAACGAUGAUUACUAGGUGUUGGGAGAUUGACCCUCUCAGUGCCGCAGUUAACACAAUAAGUAAUCCACCUGGGGAGUACGACCGCAAGGUUGAAACUCAAAGGAAUUGACGGGGGCCCGCACAAGCAGUGGAGUAUGUGGUUUAAUUCGACGCAACGCGAAGAACCUUACCAAGUCUUGACAUCCCUUGACGAUGCUGGAAACAGUAUUUCUCUUCGGAGCAAGGAGACAGGUGGUGCAUGGUUGUCGUCAGCUCGUGUCGUGAGAUGUUGGGUUAAGUCCCGCAACGAGCGCAACCCUUAUGGUCAGUUACUACGCAAGAGGACUCUGGCCAGACUGCCGUUGACAAAACGGAGGAAGGUGGGGAUGACGUCAAAUCAUCAUGCCCUUUAUGACUUGGGCUACACACGUACUACAAUGGCGUUAAACAAAGAGAAGCAAGACCGCGAGGGGGAGCAAAACUCAGAAACAACGUCCCAGUUCGGACUGCAGGCUGCAACUCGCCUGCACGAAGUCGGAAUUGCUAGUAAUCGUGGAUCAGCAUGCCACGGUGAAUACGUUCCCG